GACGAACGCUGGCGGCGCGCUUAACACAUGCAAGUCGAGCGGAGCGAGGGUGCUUGCACCUUAGCUUAGCGGCGGACGGGUGAGUAAUGCUUAGGAAUCUGCCUAUUAGUGGGGGACAACAUUCCGAAAGGAAUGCUAAUACCGCAUACGCCCUACGGGGGAAAGCAGGGGAUCUUCGGACCUUGCGCUAAUAGAUGAGCCUAAGUCGGAUUAGCUAGUUGGUGGGGUAAAGGCCUACCAAGGCGACCAUCUGUAGCGGGUCUGAGAGGAUGAUCCGCCACACUGGGACUGAGACACGGCCCAGACUCCUACGGGAGGCAGCAGUGGGGAAUAUUGGACAAUGGGCGGAAGCCUGAUCCAGCCAUGCCGCGUGUGUGAAGAAGGCCUUUUGGUUGUAAAGCACUUUAAGCGAGGAGGAGGCUACUUAGAUUAAUACUCUGGGAUAGUGGACGUUACUCGCAGAAUAAGCACCGGCUAACUCUGUGCCAGCAGCCGCCGUAA
This 501-nucleotide ribosomal RNA is filed under the name uncultured bacterium. RNAcentral's name for it is "partial 16S ribosomal RNA". It matches the Rfam family "Bacterial small subunit ribosomal RNA", at positions 28 to 523 of the family's 1533-position model. The record is from RNAcentral.